RNAcentral lists this ribosomal RNA (496 nucleotides) under uncultured bacterium. Its description in RNAcentral is "partial 16S ribosomal RNA". It matches the Rfam family "Bacterial small subunit ribosomal RNA", at positions 28 to 506 of the family's 1533-position model. The record is from RNAcentral.
GAUGAACGCUGGCGGCGUGCCUAAUACAUGCAAGUCGAGCGAACAGACGAGGAGCUUGCUCCUCUGACGUUAGCGGCGGACGGGUGAGUAACACGUGGAUAACCUACCUAUAAGACUGGGAUAACUUCGGGAAACCGGAGCUAAUACCGGAUAAUAUAUUGAACCGCAUGGUUCAAUAGUGAAAGACGGUUUUGCGGUCACUUAUAGAUGGAUCCGCGCCGCAUGAGCUAGUUGGUAAGGUAACGGCUUACCAAGGCAACGAUGCGUAGCCGACCUGAGAGGGUGAUCGGCCACACUGGAACUGAGACACGGCCCAGACUCCUACGGGAGGCAGCAGUAGGGAAUCUUGCGCAAUGGGCGAAAGCCUGACGGAGCAACGCCGCGUGAGUGAUGAAGGUCUUCGGAUCGUAAAACUCUGUUAUUAGGGAAGAACAAAUGUGUAAGUAACUAUGCACGUCUUGACGGUACCUAAGCAGAAAGCCACGGCUAACUACGU